Molecule: ribosomal RNA, 254 nt
Filed under: uncultured bacterium
Lineage: Bacteria
Description: partial 16S ribosomal RNA
Rfam family: Bacterial small subunit ribosomal RNA
Source: RNAcentral
CGGAGGGUGCAAGCAUUAAUCGGAAUUAUUGGGCGUAAAGGGCGCGUAGGCGGGAUUAAAAGUCAGAUGUGAAAUUCCGAAGCUCAACUUCGGAGCCGCAUUUGAAACUGCAAUUCUUGAGGGAUGGCGGAGGAAACGGAAUUCCACGUGUAGCGGUGAAAUGCGUAGAUAUGUGGAAGAACACCUGUGGCGAAAGCGGUUUCCUAGCUUUUACCUGACGCUGAGGCGCGAGAGCAAGGGGAGCAAACAGGAUU